This is an RNA transcript of Solanum stenotomum, 946 nucleotides long. RefSeq lists it as uncharacterized. The transcript is spliced from 3 exons. NCBI's taxonomy places the organism in Eukaryota, Viridiplantae, Streptophyta, Magnoliopsida, Solanales, Solanaceae. The record is from RefSeq and is a predicted model, not a curated record.
AUAUGUUAAAUUUAAUGCAGGUUUUCCCCCUUCAGCCAUUCUUUAACUGCGAUUAUGGAUUCCAUUAAAUCAUUUUAUCGUGACGCUUGGAGUUCCUGGGGAGAGAUACCUGUCUUUGACAGAGAACAAAUGUGGAAUCACUUUAAGACGAAGUGCGUAUGGUAUAGCAAACAUGAUUAUCAAAUAUUUUAUAAUUUUGAAAUAGCCGCUGCUUUUAUGCUUAACAAUUUCUUGUGGAGUGCUUGGGAAAAGAACCAGAAGCCCGAUUGGAUUCUAGAAGGUUUAUGGGCUAGACUUAAUGAAAAGUGGACCAACUGAGAAAUUUCAAAAGAUGAGCAUCCACAUGUUGUGAAAAAUAAGAAGGAUGGUCAUAGUACUUUGUUUGAGCCACAUGUUGAGAGGAAAAAUACUGGAUAUAAAAAAGGCUUGGAUGAAUGGCAUCAAAGUCAACCUACUUCUGAGAAUGAUAGCUCAAACCAAUUGCCAGACGAUGAUGACUCUUCAAUAUUGUCGAAGAAGAUUGAUGGAGUAAAGAAAGGUAAAGCACGCGGCCUUGGAUCAGAGCAUUGUGUAGGCUAUAUCGUGUACGGAUUGUCUGCUGCUUCUUUAAGUUCUCCAUUGAAACAGAAUGAGGAAGAGAUAGAUUCGUUGCGAAUACAAGUACAUGAGUUGUUGAAAAAGAAAAAAGCAGACCGUUUAAGACUUGCUGGACUGGAGAAUCUAGUGCAUCAUCUCAUAGACAAUUUUUGAUCUGAUGAUGAUAACUUGAUGGGGAGAAUUAGUUUGUUGUGCUUGUGAUGUUGGAACAUUUACUUAUUUGAUUUCGUUGGGAUAUUACCUGAAUGGUGUCUGAAUGUCUAGACUUGCUUUUGGAUGUCACUUGAAUGGUGCUUGGAUGUUUUGGACUUGCUUUUGGAUGUUUUAGUUAUAAACAUGUUUAAUUUUU